Molecule: non-coding RNA, 848 nt
Filed under: Hyloscirtus lindae (Linda's treefrog)
Lineage: Eukaryota; Metazoa; Chordata; Amphibia; Anura; Hylidae
Description: partial 12S ribosomal RNA
Rfam family: Bacterial small subunit ribosomal RNA
Source: RNAcentral
GGUCCUAGCCUUGGGCUCAUUACUACUUAAUAUAUACAUGCAAGUCUCUUCACCCCUGUGAGAACGCCCUUAAACCCCUGAUAGGGGCAAGGAGCUGGUAUCAGGCACAAUAAUUAGCCCAAAACACCUAGCUACGCCACACCCACAAGGGAAUUCAGCAGUAAUUAAUAUUGAACAUAAGCGCCAGCUUGAUUCAGUUAAAGUAAAAAGGGCCGGCAAAUCUGGUGCCAGCCGCCGCGGUUACACCAUAUGACCCAAAUUGACCCCCAACACGGCGUAAAGCGUGAUUAAAGUUUUUCCCCAUUGUAGCUAAACUACUAUUGAGCUGUGACACGCCUUUAGCUAGGAAAACCAAAAACGAAAGUUGCUACAUACAAAUCAACUUGAAUUCACAACAGCUAGGACACAAACUAGGAUUAGAUACCCUACUAUGCCUAUCUAUAAACUCUUAACUUACACCUAAAUCGCCUGGGAACUACGAGCAAAGCUUAAAACCCAAAGGACUUGACGGUACCCCAAAUCCCCCUAGAGGAGCCUGUCCUUUAAUCGAUAGUCCCCGUUCAACCUCACCAUUUUUAGUCAAUCAGUCUGUAUACCUCCGUCGUCAGCUUACCACGUGAGCGUCCUAAAGUAAGCCCAAUGUUUAUACACAUCAAUACGUCAGGUCAAGGUGCAACUAAUAAAAUGGAAAGAGAUGGGCUACACUCUCUAAGAUAGAACACACGGAAAACUAACUGAAAACUAGUUUAAAGGCGGAUUUAGAAGUAAAAAAKAACUAGAGAGUUUUUUUUAACCCGGCACUGGGGUGUGUACACACCGCCCGUCACCCUCUUGAAGCCCCUAAACAG